CGCUGCGUGUCAUGUGCCCCGCUUCAAUAGCAUCAGGUACCGUAUUGACGAUCUCUUACCAUAGACAGACUUGCAGCUAGCAGACUUGCAUCGUAUCCGGCCUUGCAGCAAAUAUGUGCCGCGCUGGCCACACCCCGCUGGCCGAUGAUCCAUUCGAUGUUCCUGUCUUGAGGCUAUCCCAUGUCUGAUUUCACGACCUCUCGGCAGUAUAUGGUCGACUGUCAGGUGCGGCCGAGCGACGUGACCGAUCUGCGGAUCAUCGAUGCGAUGCUUGCCGUGCCGCAAGCGCCUGAUCGCCUAUCUGGAUCUCGAUAUCGAUGUCGCGGCGGACGGUCAGCCGAAGCGCUGCCUCAUCAAGCCGGCAGUUCG
This 369-nucleotide unclassified non-coding RNA is filed under the name Hevea brasiliensis (rubber tree). Lineage: Eukaryota; Viridiplantae; Streptophyta; Magnoliopsida; Malpighiales; Euphorbiaceae. The record is from RNAcentral.